RNAcentral lists this ribosomal RNA (567 nucleotides) under Nitriliruptor alkaliphilus. Its description in RNAcentral is "bacterial SSU rRNA". It matches the Rfam family "Bacterial small subunit ribosomal RNA", at positions 8 to 587 of the family's 1533-position model. The record is from RNAcentral. Lineage: Bacteria; Bacillati; Actinomycetota; Nitriliruptoria; Nitriliruptorales; Nitriliruptoraceae.
AGAGUUUGAUCCUGGCUCAGGACGAACGCUGGCGGCGGGUUUAACACAUGCAAGUCGAGGGACGAAGCCAUCUUCGGGUGGUGGAGACCGGCGAACGGGUGAGUAACACGUGAGGAACCUACCCUCUGCUUCGGGAUAACCCCGGGAAACCGGGGCUAAUACCGGAUGUUCCACGUGGUCUGCAUGGAUCGUGUGGGAAAGCUUUUGCGGCAGGGGAGGGUCUCGCGGCGUAUCAGCUUGUUGGUGGGGUAAUGGCCUACCAAGGCGACGACGCGUAGCUGGAGUGAGAGCUCGAACAGCCACACUGGGACUGAGACACGGCCCAGACCCCUACGGGAGGCAGCAGUGGAGAAUCUUGCGCAAUGGGCGGAAGCCUGACGCAGCCACGCCGCGUGCGGGAAGAAGGCCUUCGGGUCGUAAACCGCUUUCAGCAGGGACGAAGCGAUCAGUGACGGUACCUGCAGAAGAAGGACCGGCCAACUACGUGCCAGCAGCCGCGGUAAUACGUAGGGUCCGAGCGUUGUCCGGAAUCAUUGGGCGUAAAGCGCAUGUAGGCGGCCAUGUGAG